GGACUAAUACCCAAUGACGUCUCUAGAAGACAUCUGAAAGAGAUUAAAGAUUUAUCGGUGAUGGAUGGGGAUGCGUCUGAUUAGCUUGUUGGCGGGGUUAACGGCCCACCAAGGCGACGAUCAGUAGGGGUUCUGAGAGGAAGGUCCCCCACAUUGGAACUGAGACACGGUCCAAACUCCUACGGGAGGCAGCAGUGAGGAAUAUUGGUCAAUGGGCGAGAGCCUGAACCAGCCAAGUAGCGUGAAGGAUGACUGCCCUAUGGGUUGUAAACUUCUUUUAUAAAGGAAUAAAGUCGGGUAUGGAUACCCGUUUGCAUGUACUUUAUGAAUAAGGAUCGGCUAACUCCGUG
Molecule: ribosomal RNA, 350 nt
Filed under: uncultured bacterium
Lineage: Bacteria
Description: bacterial SSU rRNA
Rfam family: Bacterial small subunit ribosomal RNA
Source: RNAcentral